CCUACGGGAGGCAGCAGUAGGGAAUCUUCCACAAUGGGCGAAAGCCUGAUGGAGCAACGCCGCGUGGGUGAAGAAGGUCUUCGGAUCGUAAAACCCUGUUGUUAGAGAAGAAAGUGCGUGAGAGUAACUGUUCACGUUUCGACGGUAUCUAACCAGAAAGCCACGGCUAACUACGUGCCAGCAGCCGCGGUAAAACGUAGGUGGCAAGCGUUAUCCGGAUUUAUUGGGCGUAAAGGGAACGCAGGCGGUCUUUUAAGUCUGAUGGGAAAGCCUUCGGCUUAACCGGAGUAGUGCAUUGGAAACUGGGAGACUUGAGUGCAGAAGAGGAGAGUGGAACUCCAUGUGUAGCGGAGAAAUGCGUAGAUAUAUGGAAGAACACCAGUGGCGAAAGCGGCUCUCUGGUCUGUAACUGACGCUGAGGUUCGAAAGCGUGGGUAGCAAACAGGAUUAGAUACCCGGGUAGUC
This 465-nucleotide ribosomal RNA is filed under the name uncultured bacterium. RNAcentral's name for it is "partial 16S ribosomal RNA". It matches the Rfam family "Bacterial small subunit ribosomal RNA", at positions 338 to 795 of the family's 1533-position model. The record is from RNAcentral.